AGGAAAACAAACAACCUGAUUUUAAAAUGGCCAAAGGACCUGAACAGACAUUUCCCUAAAGAAGAUGUGAAGAUGGCCAGCAGGCUGCACAUGUUCUUCGGAAAAAGAUCUAAAAGCAUCACCUUUUGCUUUGUCUGCUGGUGCUUAAGUUUGAAUAUGUCAUCCCACUGCCUUUGGCCUUCAUAGCUUCUGGCCCAGGAAAGGGAAGAAUUACAUGAAGACACAUGGAGAGGGGAGCCAAGGGGAGAGGUUCAGAAGAAACAAAGCCUGCUGAUAUCUUGAUCUUGGGGUCUAACCUCCAGAACGGUGAUGAAAUGUCUGUUAUUUAAGCCAUUCGGUCUGUGGUAUUGGUGACAACAGUCUAAGCAGACUAAUGCAAGCCCUGACACAGACUUUAUGCAAUUUAAUUCUCUUUUCUCAGUCAUGAUUUUCUCCUCUGUAAUAAGCUCUAAUUAUCAGUGAUGAAAAUUAAAUGUGUAAAUGUGUACAUUAUUGUUUAAAGACAAGUAAAGAAAACCAACACCCUUGUUUUUGUUUAACGGAUCUACCUAUUUUUAGGAAAUGUUUAAGCAGAUGUGGAUUUUUUUUUUAACACAAUAAAAUACUAUCCUUUUCUCAGCUCUUUUAAAA
This 630-nucleotide long non-coding RNA is filed under the name Homo sapiens (human). Its description in RNAcentral is "HSALNT0361979". The record is from RNAcentral. Lineage: Eukaryota; Metazoa; Chordata; Mammalia; Primates; Hominidae.